GAUGAACGCUGGCGGUGUGCCUAAUACAUGCAAGUCGAGCGGUAAGGUCUCUUCGGAGAUACACGAGCGGCGGACGGGUGAGUAACGCGUAAGAAUGUACCCCAAAGUGAGGGAUAAGCACCAGAAAUGGUGUCUAAUACCGCAUGUGCUCUUCGGAGUAAAGCUUCGGCGCUUUGGGAACAGCUUGCGUAUGAUUAGCUAGUUGGUAAGGUAAUGGCUUACCAAGGCGACGAUCAUUAGCGGGUCUGAGAGGAUGAUCCGCCACACUGGGACUGAGACACGGCCCAGACUCCUACGGGAGGCAGCAGUAGGGAAUUUUCCACAAUGGGGGCAACCCUGAUGGAGCAACACCGCGUGCAGGAUGAAGGCCUUCGGGUUGUAAACUGCUUUUAUCUGUGACGAAUAUGACGGUAGCAGACGAAUAAGGAUCGGCUAACUACGUGCCAGCAGCCGCCGUAA
RNAcentral lists this ribosomal RNA (459 nucleotides) under uncultured bacterium. RNAcentral's name for it is "partial 16S ribosomal RNA". It matches the Rfam family "Bacterial small subunit ribosomal RNA", at positions 28 to 523 of the family's 1533-position model. The record is from RNAcentral.